GCGGCGAACGGGUGAGUAACACGUGAGCAACCUGCCCCAGGCUUUGGGAUAACCCCGGGAAACCGGGGCUAAUACCGAAUAUGACCUCUGACCGCAUGGUUGGUGGUGGAAAGUUUUUCGGCUUGGGAUGGGCUCGCGGCCUAUCAGCUUGUUGGUGGGGUGAUGGCCUACCAAGGCGACGACGGGUAGCCGGCCUGAGAGGGCGACCGGCCACACUGGGACUGAGACACGGCCCAGACUCCUACGGGAGGCAGCAGUGGGGAAUAUUGCACAAUGGGCGGAAGCCUGAUGCAGCGACGCCGCGUGAGGGAUGACGGCCUUCGGGUUGUAAACCUCUUUCAGCAGGGACGAAGCGUAAGUGACGGUACCUGCAGAAGAAGCGCCGGCCAACUACGUGCCAGCAGCCGCGGUAAGACGUAGGGCGCGAGCGUUGUCCGGAUUUAUUGGGCGUAAAGAGCUCGUAGGCGGCUUGUCGCGUCGACCGUGAAAACCUGGGGCUCAACCCCAAGCCUGCGGUCGAUACGGGCAGGCUAGAGUUCGGUAGGGGAGACUGGAAUUCCUGGUGUAGCGGUGAAAUGCGCAGAUAUCAGGAGGAACACCGGUGGCGAAGGCGGGUCUCUGGGCCGAUACUGACGCUGAGGAGCGAAAGCGUGGGGAGCGAACAGGAUUAGAUACCCUGG
RNAcentral lists this ribosomal RNA (680 nucleotides) under Micromonospora sp. I12A-01951. Its description in RNAcentral is "bacterial SSU rRNA". It matches the Rfam family "Bacterial small subunit ribosomal RNA", at positions 95 to 790 of the family's 1533-position model. The record is from RNAcentral. Lineage: Bacteria; Bacillati; Actinomycetota; Actinomycetes; Micromonosporales; Micromonosporaceae.